AUCCAGCUGACGAGUCCCAGUUAGGACGAAAUGCGCUUUAUCCUGGAU
This 48-nucleotide non-coding RNA is filed under the name Trichobilharzia regenti. The record is from RNAcentral. Lineage: Eukaryota; Metazoa; Platyhelminthes; Trematoda; Strigeidida; Schistosomatidae.